This 91-nucleotide transfer RNA is filed under the name Pyricularia grisea. Its description in RNAcentral is "Magnaporthe grisea tRNA". It matches the Rfam family "tRNA". Rfam says of the family: Transfer RNA (tRNA) molecules are approximately 80 nucleotides in length. Their secondary structure includes four short double-helical elements and three loops (D, anti-codon, and T loops). Further hydrogen bonds mediate the characteristic L-shaped molecular structure. tRNAs have two regions of fundamental functional importance: the anti-codon, which is responsible for specific mRNA codon recognition, and the 3' end, to which the tRNAs corresponding amino acid is attached (by aminoacyl-tRNA synthetases). tRNAs cope with the degeneracy of the genetic code in two manners: having more than one tRNA (with a specific anti-codon) for a particular amino acid; and 'wobble' base-pairing, i.e. permitting non-standard base-pairing at the 3rd anti-codon position. Lineage: Eukaryota; Fungi; Ascomycota; Sordariomycetes; Magnaporthales; Pyriculariaceae. The record is from Rfam by way of RNAcentral.
GCGGGUUUAGCUCAGUUGGGAGAGCGUCAGACUGAAGUAGCACUUCAUUCCUGUUAUCUGAAGGUCAUGUGUUCGAUCCACAUAAACCGCA